Molecule: signal recognition particle RNA, 296 nt
Filed under: Rhinolophus ferrumequinum (greater horseshoe bat)
Lineage: Eukaryota; Metazoa; Chordata; Mammalia; Chiroptera; Rhinolophidae
Description: Metazoan signal recognition particle RNA (ENSRFEG00010017073.1)
Rfam family: Metazoan signal recognition particle RNA
About the family: The signal recognition particle (SRP) is a universally conserved ribonucleoprotein. It is involved in the co-translational targeting of proteins to membranes.
Source: Rfam by way of RNAcentral
GCUGGGCGCUGUGGCGCGCGCCUGUAGUCCCAGCUAACAGGAAGCUGACGCAGGAGGAUCGCUUGAGCUCAGGAGUUCUGGGCUGUAGUGCGCUAUGCCGAUCGGGUGGCCGCACUAAGUUCAGCAUCAAUAUGGUGACCUCCCGGGAGCAGGGGACCACCAGAUUGCCUAAGGAGAGGUGAACCGGCCCAGGUCAGAAACGGAGCAGGUCAAAGCUCCAGUGCUGAUCAGCAUUGGGAUCGUGCCAGAACAGCCACUGCACUCGAGCCUGGGCAACAUAGAGAGAACCGUCUCUU